Molecule: ribosomal RNA, 551 nt
Filed under: uncultured Bacteroidota bacterium
Lineage: Bacteria; Pseudomonadati; Bacteroidota
Description: bacterial SSU rRNA
Rfam family: Bacterial small subunit ribosomal RNA
Source: RNAcentral
AUUCUUUCGGGAGUACCCUAGUGGCGGACGGGUGAGUAACGCGUGAGCAACCUGCCCCGGAGUGUGGAAUAACCCCUGGAAACAGGAGCUAAUACCGCAUGAUAUAGUACCGUCGCAUGGCGGAACUAUCAAAGAUUUAUCGCUUCGGGAUGGGCUCGCGUCUGAUUAGAUAGUUGGUAGGGUAACGGCCUACCAAGCCGACGAUGUUUAGGGGUCCUGAGAGGGUUAUCCCCCACACUGGUACUGAGACACGGACCAGACUCCUACGGGAGGCAGCAGUGAGGAAUAUUGGUCAAUGGCCGCGAGGCUGAACCAGCCAUCCCGCGUGAAGGAAGACUGUUUUAUGAAUUGUAAACUUCUUUUCCGGAGGAAUAAAACUAUGUACGCGUACAUAUCUGAAGGUACUCUGGGAAUAAGCAUCGGCUAACUCCGUGCCAGCAGCCGCGGUAAUACGGAGGAUGCGAGCGUUAUCCGGAUUUAUUGGGUUUAAAGGGUGCGUAGGCUGGCUAAUAAGUCAGCGGUGAAAUCCUUUCGCUUAACGAAAGAAUUGC